Molecule: long non-coding RNA, 180 nt
Organism: Athene cunicularia (burrowing owl)
Lineage: Eukaryota; Metazoa; Chordata; Aves; Strigiformes; Strigidae
Exons: 4
Source: RefSeq, a predicted model, not a curated record
AGGUCUGCUCAUGGGAACGUCGGCGCACAGGUACUUUUUCCUUGGUGGCUUCUGGUGGCGGGAGCACACAUCGGGUUUGUUCCGUGACCAUUGCGGUAUUUCUCUGCAUAUCUUCUGUCUUGUUCACUGUUAUUGCUGUUUAUUGUUGUUAUCAUUGCUACUGUUGUUGUUCAGAUUGUU